RNAcentral lists this ribosomal RNA (257 nucleotides) under uncultured bacterium. Its description in RNAcentral is "partial 16S ribosomal RNA". It matches the Rfam family "Bacterial small subunit ribosomal RNA", at positions 524 to 777 of the family's 1533-position model. The record is from RNAcentral.
UACAGAGGGUGCAAGCGUUGUUCGGAAUUAUUGGGCGUAAAGCGCGUGUAGGCGGCAUUGCAAGUCGGGUGUGAAAGCCCUCAGCUCAACUGAGGAAGUGCGCCCGAAACUGCAGUGCUUGAGUACCGGAGAGGAUGGUGGAAUUCCCCAAGUAGAGGUGAAAAUUCGUAGAUAUGGGGAGGAACACCGGAUGGCGAAGGCGACCAUCUGGACGGAGUACUGACGCUGAGACGCGAAAGCGUGGGUAGCAAACGAGG